GACCUGGUGGUGAAGUGCAUCACACCCACUUCUCACGCUGUCCCAUGUACACCCAUUGUGGGUGGGAGUCCCUGGUUCGAUUCCAGGCCAGGUUC
Molecule: non-coding RNA, 95 nt
Organism: Mycena galericulata
Lineage: Eukaryota; Fungi; Basidiomycota; Agaricomycetes; Agaricales; Mycenaceae
Source: the annotation of a GenBank genome assembly